Molecule: ribosomal RNA, 478 nt
Filed under: uncultured bacterium
Lineage: Bacteria
Description: bacterial SSU rRNA
Rfam family: Bacterial small subunit ribosomal RNA
Source: RNAcentral
CUCAGGAUGAACGCUGGCGGCGUGCCUAAGACAUGCAAGUCGAACGGGUUUAGACCCGUGGCGAAUGGGUGAGUAACGCGUGGGAACUUUCAUUAAGUUCGGAAUAACCUCCCGAAAGGGAGAGCAAUACCGGAUGUGGUCGCAAGACUAAAGGAGCAAUCCGCUUAAUGUGAGGCCUGCGUGCCAUCAGCUAGUUGGUAGGGUAAAAGCCUACCAAGGCUAUGACGGCUAGGGGCCCGAGAGGGUGAACCCCCACACUGGGACUGAGACACGGCCCAGACUCCUACGGGAGGCAGCAGUGGGGAAUAUUGGACAAUGGGCGCAGGCCUGAUCCAGCAAUGCCGCGUGAGUGAUGAAGGCCUUAGGGUUGUAAAGCUCUUUCGGCAGGAACGAAAUGGUUCGUGCUAAUACCACGGACUGAUGACGGUACCUGAAGAAGAAGCACCGGCUAACUACGUGCUAGCCGCCGCGGUAAUUC